GGAGCUGCCCCGCCGCCGCCGCAGGCCUGACUUAGAGGGCGAGGCCGAGGAGGGUUCUGGGGUUGGGCCGCAAGGCCCACCCCGCCGCCCGCGGUGCGGCGCCGACGGAGGCGGAGCUCAGGCCGCGCGUGACAGCAGGAGAAUUGCUGACCUUCAACCAUAAAACCAGGAUGACAAAGAACUAGGAUGACCCACACUGGACCAACACUUGACCAGUUUCAAGAUCCGUAUCAUAAUGGACUGUGCUGGACUGCAGUCAAUGCCUAGAUAUACAGCUGGACAUAGAACAGACCUUCAGAUACCCCUCUGAUUAUGCACCGAAGGACUCCUAUUCAGACCAUCUGGCAUCCAUUAUCCUGACCACCUGACACCUGACUGAUAACUGCCCUGGACCAAUCCUGGAUCAACCAGUAAUUCUCAGUGAUAUCUGAGCUGAGCUGCAAGGAAUGAGAAGAAACCUGUCAUGUGAAGAUCUGGGAAGAGAGUGUGCCAAGCAGAGGAACAGCAAGUACAGAUUGUGAG
This is a long non-coding RNA of Myotis myotis, 522 nucleotides long. RefSeq lists it as uncharacterized. Lineage: Eukaryota; Metazoa; Chordata; Mammalia; Chiroptera; Vespertilionidae. The transcript is spliced from 4 exons. The record is from RefSeq and is a predicted model, not a curated record.